GGUGGCUCAGUGGUAGAGUGCCUGCCUCGAAUGCACGAGGCCCUGGGUUCGAUUCCUCAGCACCA
This is a non-coding RNA of Dipodomys ordii (Ord's kangaroo rat), 65 nucleotides long. The record is from Rfam. NCBI's taxonomy places the organism in Eukaryota, Metazoa, Chordata, Mammalia, Rodentia, Heteromyidae.